This 492-nucleotide ribosomal RNA is filed under the name uncultured bacterium. RNAcentral describes it as "partial 16S ribosomal RNA". It matches the Rfam family "Bacterial small subunit ribosomal RNA", at positions 29 to 507 of the family's 1533-position model. The record is from RNAcentral.
AGUGAACGCUGGCGGUAGGCCUAACACAUGCAAGUCGAACGGCAGCACAGUAAGAGCUUGCUCUUACGGGUGGCGAGUGGCGGACGGGUGCGGAAUACAUCGGAAUCUACUUUUUCGUGGGGGAUAACGUAGGGAAACUUACGCUAAUACCGCAUACGACCUACGGGUGAAAGCAGGGGAUCUUCGGACCUUGCGCGACUGAAUGAGCCGAUGUCGGAUUAGCUAGUUGGCGGGGUAAAGGCCCACCAAGGCGACGAUCCGUAGCUGGUCUGAGAGGAUGAUCAGCCACACUGGGACUGAGACACGGUCCAGACUCCUACGGGAGGCAGCAGUGGGGAAUAUUGGACAAUGGGCGCAAGCCUGAUCCAGCCAUGCCGCGUGGGUGAAGAAGGCCUUCGGGUUGUAAAGCGCUUUUGUUGGGAAAGAAAAGCAGCAGGUUAAUACCCCGCUGUUCUGACGGUACCCAAAGAAUAAGCACCGGCUAACUUCGUG